CCGCCCCUUCCUCCCCCCCUACCCUUUCCGCCACCAUGUUUUCGUGUAUAUAUUACGUAUAAUUAUAUUAUUAAUAUAUUUCGUCCGCGGUCCACCGCUUUUGAAUAUCGUCAUUCAAUAUCACGCACGCGACGGAACGGAAACUUUCGCCAAAAAAAAAAAAACAUUUAAAAAAACCAAUUCGUAAGUAUAUAUUUUAUUUUAAGAUUUAUCCGGUAAACGCCGUUAUUAUUAUUAUUAUUUUUUUUUUUUUUGAAUUUUCAAACGUCCGUUGAACGUGCCGAAAGGGAUGUGCGAUUCGAUAUCUCGAUACUCUCGCGUUGUACCUACUUAAGACCGUAUAAUCGUACCCGAUAUCGAAAUACCGGUUGUGUAUCGAAUGAAAACGCGAUAAUCACUCCGCGUCGGUCAAACAAAUUAGAUAUAGACGAAAUAAUUCAGUAGGUAUUUUACGUAUUAUUUUUUUUCUGUGUGUUUUUACAUAUCAAUUCUGAAUAGUUUUUUUUUUUUUUAUAAUAACAAAAUAAUAUAAACGUUUAUAUAUUAUAAAUAUUCGUAAUUUGUUUCUAUUUUCAAAUGAAGGUAACGAGAAUAAAGUAUCGCACUUACUAAACGAGUAUCGAGUAUUGGAUUCUAAAUUUUUAGUACCGCCCGUUUCUAGACUAUACCAUUAAAUGUUUGUUUUGUAUUCCGAUAUUCCGUGUAUUUUUCCAAUACGAUUUGUACGGGUAAUCGAUCGAUUUUCAACGAGACGUUAUAGUUGGUAUAUAAUAUAAUAAUUCAUUUAAAUUAGAUUUUACAUUUAAAAACAAAUAUGUUAUCAAAUAGUAUAGUAAUUAGGUACCUAAUGAUUUUCAGAAUGCACACGUUUUCGAUUAACAUAAGUACAAAUAGUUAUCGCUUAGUAUUAUUAUAGUAAACUUUGGAAAAAUAUAGAAAAUAUAUUUUAUAAUUAAUAUACACCGAAGAAAAAAAUACUUGAAGAUGAAAUAAACUUAUAAAUAAUAUAAUAACUGUAUCCUAAUAUGACAGUUUUACGCGUUUUAAUAUUAAGAGGUAUUCGGGUAUUUAAAGGUAUUAUGGGGACUGACGAUGGUUUUCAAAAUUGUCUCCAUAUUCGUACAAUUUGAAAUGCUUGUUUAAAUUUGAACGACUACCUUGGUUAGGCCACAUAACGAGAAGGGAUAUAGAUAGGACAGUUUAGAUAGUUAUGGAGUGGAAACUCAGGGAUGAAGAACUAGAGGACAACUCUGGAGAGAAGUAGUUCAAGAUAAAAACAGGUGGCGAAGUAUAGUAGUGGCAGCCGUAACUCUUAGACAGUAAAAUUAUGUCAUUAGAAGAAGAAGAAAAAGAAUGUCUACCUUAAUGAUAAGGCAAAUCCAUUAAUAUACUGUCCGACACUCGUUUAAAGGGAAAAAUUACAGCUUUUAAUACGGACGAACACGGUGUUUUAUACCGAAAAGCCAGACAAAACUGUAGGAAUCGCGUUUAACGGAUUUAGAUUUUUAAAACGUAUUUUGAUUCGAAAGAUUCGUUUACUAGGAUUCGUUGAAAAUAUUUGUUUAAUUUUUAAUUCUAUCACAAUAUUAAAAGUCGAAAUACUUCAAGUAUACAGUUUUGAACAUUUUUCCAAAAUACGAUCAACAUUUUUACAAUUUCCAGUAAAAAUAAUUGAAUUUCUAUUUUGAUCAAAUCCUAGUAAAAAAAAAAAAUUAAGAUUCUUUACAUGAUUCGUUUUCAAUGUUGAAAUUCGUUGAACACAAUUCCUACAGUUUCAUCUGGCUUUUAGUUUUAAAUCGACGAAUAUAUACGCCGUCACCAAUUCCCUUAAGAAAACCGUAAUUAAUGAAUUAACAAAUAGAUGAUGUCAGUUAACCUUUAUGCGUUACGAAACUUCUAGUAUAAGAUAAAGGAAAAUAGAACUGUAAAAAAAUAGUAUUUAUAAACGACAAGGCAGAACAAGUUAAUGAAUAUAAUAAUAAUAUAUAAUAUAAUAUAAUAUUAAAUUGGUUUGAAAAUGAAUAGUAAUAUGUUAAAAGUUUAAACAAUUACAUCUGUGAGUUAUAAGUUGAAAAUUUAAUUAACUAUACUGACUGUUAACUUUUGAACUCAUUAACGUCUAGUCUCAGAUUAUAAGAGCUAAGAAAUUAUGAGACUUGGUUUCAUACAAGGCUGUACCUAAAUAAAAAGAAACUUCGGAGAGGUCCAACAAUUUUGUGUAUAUUUUUCAAAUAAUUCCAUGAAUUUUUAUCUUUUUAUCUAUUAAAUUAUAUAUUAGAAUUUCGGUGCCUAAUAUUUUUCUCCUUUCGAAAUAAUGUCGAUGGAAAUCCUUUGAUAUGGCCUCGGAUUUGCUAUUAUGCGCACAGGUCAAAAUAUUAUAUUUCUUAUAAAAACGAUUAUUUUAAUUUUUUGUAUUAGAUAAUCUUACAAUAUCCCAAGAGCUGAUUUAGAUCCACUAAGUUUGUGGUCGUUCUGUAGUUUUUAUUUAAUAUACAGAGACCGUCAAUAACCUUUGCAGCAAAACUCCUACACUCUCUUUAUACCUCGAGUGCUUUUCAAGCAAUUCUUUAUAAAUCUCGUACCACGUCAUCUUUCUUUUUUUUCUACUUGAUCAUUCUGCCAUUUCUCAGAUCUGCCUUUUGCAUGUGUUUUUGAUUUUGUUAUGUUGCUUGUUUUCCGCAUCACUUGAUUCUUUUGUUCUUUAUGAUUUUCUGUUUCUGUAUUUUUAAAUACAACAAAACCGCUUUCACGUAAAACAAAUCAAACGACUUUUAAAAUCAGUAUGAGAGUUAAAAUGCCUAUUAUAUAACUUGAAGAUGACAAUAUUAUUAGAAUUUUUAAAAAUAUUAACGAUUAAAGAAAAAUUACGUACAAAUUUCACUUGAUUGUAUAUAAAUGUAUAUAAAUAGAUCAAAAAUCGCUCAAAAAUUUUGAAAAUUUGACAAUGUCUAGAAAAAUCAAAUUUAAGUUUUAUGUCAUAAUUUCAAAUCUUUACGAAUAUUUUUAACUGAAUUACAUAAAAAAAUAAAAUUAUAAAUACUAAAAGAAUUAUUUCGUCAAUUUUCCCGUACUUUCUUGAUAUUUUUCAGUUUCGUUCAAUUAUUUUAAAAAUUAAAAAUAUAAAAUACGGCUUUCUUAAACAUUUGCUAAAUUAAAAAUCCAGUAAAAAAGAUAUUUUGUCGUUUUUUUAUUGGAGCAAUAUUUUUUGUAGAAAACAUAAGCCAUACAAAUUUAAAAUAAAGGAAUCCUAGCGCUGUAAAUUUAUUAGUUUUUAUUUCUCGUCAUUUCCCGGUUUUUCUCAGUUACUACAAAACCCACCAGUUAGAUAAAAAAAAACGAAUAAUUUACUCACCAACUAGUAUAUAAAGUCAACAAAAAAAGUCUCUUGUUAUUUUUCUAUUGGAGCGCAACAUACCCGUACAAAUUUUAAAUAAUAAAAUCGUUGUGCCGUAGUUUUUUGCCGAAUUGCUACGCUCCGAAUCAAAAAAAAUCCCAGGCCAGAAUAUAUCAUUAUUAUAAUAAUUUUAGUUUCUCGAAUAUUUCAGAAACUAAAAUUAUAACAAUAUGUUCUGACUAGGGCGGGGGGAGGGGGGAGAUUAUAAAAGAAUUAGCGAAAUAUUUCUUUUCUAAGGAUUCAAUAUAAUUCACGAUAGCAUCUUUUAUAUGAACGGUACGGAAUGCAUCAGACAAUAUUUCAUCCGAAACCCAACAAAGCUUCAGGUCCUAUAAUUUCCAGUAUUAAACUGCAGUUACUCAUAAUAUUAUCAUGUAAUAAUCACAUUCCAUUACACAAAUUUACUUCGAAAUUAUUCAUUUGUUAGAAUUCAAAAUAACAAAAAAACUACAAGUCUAUGCGAAGUUCGGUUAUUAAACUUAUACUCAAAUAAUGCAAGUGAUUUUUACGAUUUUUGUCGUAAUGUGAACUUGAAAUGCUUACAAAAAAAAUUCUACUACAUUACAUAUACAUUUUUGCUGUGUCAAAAUAAUAUUUUCUAUAAAUAAAAACUCAACAAUUUAAAAUAGCUGUACAAAUCUCAAAAAUGGGCAAAACGUUAUGAAAAUUGCUCCGCGUACAGAAAGCUUCAAUUUAAGUAUUCGAUGAAAAUUUCUGAUCAUUACGAUUAUAUUAAACAGACUUACGAAAAAAUAAAUUAAAAACAAAAUCGAAAAUAACAGAAUCCGUUAUUGCGUACAUUUUUCCGUUUUUCCACGUUUUUGAAAACAAUUUUAAAAAAAAAAAAUCAAAAAUCUUGCUCAAUACGUCGACUUAUCAAUAAUUUAUACCCCUAAACCAUUUCUAAGUUAAUGACCGGAACAAAAUUUCCAGUAGAAAAGUUGUUCACAGAUAGACAAACCAAAUAAAAACACACAUCAUAGUUGAACCGUCGUAUUCCUCGCAGGGACGGCGCUGCCCACCCGGGACAAAUUCUCGCUCAUCUAUCGCCUCCUCCCCCCCCAAGCCUUACACUAAUGAUAUUUGCACACGUAAGAAUUUGUAUUAUUCGAACUAUUAAGGGAAUUGGUCACAGCUAUUCAAUAAGCGGCCAAAUAUAGGCUAAUAUAGGUAUAACUUCUAAUCUCUUAGUCGCUGCCUGCCGCAUCAUCAGAACAAGUAGAUAAUAUUGUUGUUUAAUUUUAAUUUUUAAAAAUUGAAUACUGAUGUAUUAUGUGUUAUUAAUACAGUGUUCACUGAUACAUAAUUAAUUUAAUUGUUUUUUUUUUUUCAUUGAAAAGUAAAAUUGUUGUGCUUGCCCCUCCAGGAAAAAUAACUCUGGUGCCGUGCCUGAUUCCCCGCUUCGCUCAGAAUCUAAAACAAACAGCAAACUAUUUUUAAUUCUUUCAAAAUAUCGUUUCGCUUUGUUAUAAUUUCGCAUCGACCCGUAUAAAGUCAGUUCGUUUGUUCUUUUACGUCGUAUUGUGUACGAUGAUAUUGUUGUUUACUCAUGACCGAACAUUUUAUACGUUGCAUAGCUCGGUGAUUGUCAAAAGCGCACUUUUCGUAUUUUUUUUUUUUUCAAAUCAAAAGCGCAAAUACUAUUCAACUCAAAACGCACUUACAAAAAUCACCUCUGUAUAUUAUGCCAAAAACGCAUAAAACAUGAUAGUAUAUUUUUAUUCCCAUGAGCGAUUUUACAUACCUACUAUAGAGUAGGAUUCUGGAUUUGUAUUAAUGUAUGUAUAUUCUUUUUUUACAACGGACAAGCAAAGUUUUCAUAAGUAGGUACCUACCGAUAUCCCUGAUGUAAACGAUUUACAUAGUAUAUUUAUGAAUGAUAAAUGAUACAAUAUUUUUAUUUUGCAUAUGUAUGCUUAAGUUUAAAUAGAAACAAUGUUUCGAGUUACAGAUACGAUUACUAAUCGGGUAAUUAUAAAUCAUGUAUAGUUUUUGAAAAGUCUAGAUCACAUGAAAGUGAUAAAAUGCGCGUACAGCACGUCAAUUCGUUUCGUGUUUUGUACCUAUUUUAAAUUAGUUUCAAAUAAGUGUAUGGGUUCUAUUUCUUCUUACUAGCCUUAAUCCCAACUAUUUGGGGUCAACUGCCCUCGUCCUAAACUUCUACUUGACCCGAUCUCUCACAUCGUCCUUACAUUGUCAUUUUUAUAUCGUUUUCAAUCGCAUACAACCGCCUCUUUUUCGCUCUUCCUCUUUACCUCUUUUCUCCAUACGCUUAUUUUUAUUACCAUUCUUACUAAUUUCGAUUUCUUUUUCCUCGUGACAUGCGUAAACUAUUUUAGUUUAUUUUCUGAUGUAUUAUCGUUAUUAAAUUUAUAAAUUAAUUUUAUUAAUAUACAUCAAAACAAUAAUUCUAUUACAUUCAAAUAAUUUUAUAAAACGGUAUCUCGCGAAUGUGUACGCAUGUAAUAUGUGUCGCUCUAGACUCAUCUUAUUUUGUAGGAUAAAUUCUCGUUAAGACACUUAUUAAUUCGGAAAUUGUUAACUUUUUUAAAAAUUUUGUUUUUUUUAAACAACUUAUGAAACAAAUAAAUCUUAAAUGUUACACUACCGUUAUUUACACUACUAGGAUGUACGUUACGGAACUGUGUGGGAUGACAAAAUUACCAUAGGUAUAUAACAAAUUUAAUCAUCAAAAUGCAAAUAAUGCAGUGGUUUAGACGUGCUAUGCGCAAAGAUAAGAUAAAGAUGGAAUCAGAGUAGCUAUAAUAGAACGGAGGUCGGCGGGCAAAAUUCCAUUUGGCUAAGGAGAAUAUGAUAUAAAGACAGGCGGAAAUUAUAUUGAAAGUCAGGGCUAUUAGAUAGCUGUCAAGCCAGAGACGAAUAAGAAAGAAAGAGAGAGAGAGAUUCCAGUAUUUUACCAAAAAUAUUAUAUUAAUAUCUGAUACUAUAACCAUGUAUAAAAUAAUGAUAGUUUUAUAAAUGAACCAUAUCAGCUGCGUUCGACUUUUCAAACAAUUUUACUAUAGAAUGAAUGUAUUGUUUCGCCUUAUAUAAAAAUAAAAAACAAAACGAGAAACUUUAUUAAAAUAACGGACCGAAACAACCGGAUUUUUAAAAUAUAUUAUAUAUUCCUUAUACUCGAUUUAAUUCGUAUUUAAAAAUAUGAAUAUGAAUUCGGAUAUUUGACAAAAAGUACUUUAGAUUGAACACACAUUUUAAACAAUCGCUUUUUAUAAGUGUCAAAGUUCUAAAACUGGCAUAGUUAUUUUUAAAUUUAUAUUAUACAUAAAAAAAAAACCUAUUCCGAUCGGGGUUUUAUAUUAUAGUAUAAAAACAAAAUAAAAACUCAUGCACAAGGGAUUGACAAUAAUUGAUUGAAAAUCUCGCGGUUUAUUGUUUUCAACGACUCACUGGCAUUUAUUUAUUUAUUUUUUUAAAUACGCAUAUAUAUACCGAUUUCAUUAGUUUUAUUUUGUUUUAUGUAUUAUAAAAUGGAAUUUAAAAAAAUAAUAAAUAUAUAUAUAUAUAUAUAUACCACUAAGUGGAUUUCGAAACUAUAUGGAAACUUUUUGAAAAGAGGGUUUCCCGCACUUGACAUGGAAUUAAAUUAAGGGUUGGGGUUAAUUUUAGAUUUGGGCCCCCUCUAGCGCACGCGUGCGGUUUAAGCUUUUAAUGGAUCUGUUUAACAUGACGCGAGGGAACAAACACUGUACGUACUAUAUAACGACGCGCAUACGGAGAUAGGUAUUUGAGCUCAGCGGUCCAUAUUGUAAAACAGUAAUAGUUUCUCCCUAUAUAAAUAUACGAAUACGUUUAAGAACACUAAAAACAGGACGUUUUAUAAAAGCUUAAAAAUCAUAGUAGUUACACAGUAAUAUACGACGGAUACGAUCAAGGCCGUAGUCGGAUCAAAUUUUUGCGACGGACUUUCAAGUGAAUCAUCCAUUAUUUUUGUUACAGACAUAAUUAGUGUCGAUCUUGAAAUACUUAAACAAUACUUUUGAACAAAAUUUCGGAAAGAGUGUGAACCCCGAAACCCCCUUUAGUUACUGCUUCGAAUAAAAUAAUAUAAUAUGUAUAUUAUUAUUAUUUUAAAUUAUUAAAUUAUUUAAAAUCUGGCACUAACUAACAAGUGAAAAAGUUAAAAGUUACUUUUCGUUGAUAACUUUUGACUUAACUGUAGUUUUUAAACAAAUCGUAAACUAUAUAAUGGUUAACUUAAUCGUUAAUAACUUAAUUAUAUUUUCAAAUAAACUAACAAAAACUAGAGAAUUGAAGUAGCAUACUCUCCAAAUAAAUUGAACUCCUCCUGUAGCAUACGUACAAUGUAAACUAGUGUGUAAAUUGCAAACUGAUUUUAGUCACAAUCCGUUUUAACAUAAACGAAUCAUUCAUAUUAUGCAUAAGUAGUAUGAUAGAACAUCCUUCCAGUAUUUUAAUUUAUUUUUGCCAAGGUUGGACUGAAAAUCAAUGAGGACCUUUUUAUAGUCAUACCAAAUAGUUUAGUGAAAACCUCAUUACGAAAUUCGCAGUAGUUUGCGAGUAGAGUGCAUACUUUGGCGAUACGGAUGAAAAAAAGAGUUAUUUUGUUUGGUUUUCUCAGCCUAGAAAGUAUUAUUUUUUUUUAAAAAGAUAAAUUACCGGACUACAACGAUUAACUGUCAUAGGGUAAAAAUUGAGUCUUAUCAAAUGAUAGUAGAAUUUGAACCGGGAACUAGAAUUUUAAAUGGUUUUAUAGGUUCCGGUUAUUAGUAAAAAUACAAAUUUCGGCAUUGUAACGUUUUAAAUGUAGGUUCCACUCUUUGGUAAUAGUGAUUUAAAUCUUUAAAUUAUCAGAUUUAUGUUGAACCUACUAACUUAACGUAAUAUAAUCUAAACACCAUAAUGUACACGUUCUAAGUAACGUAAUUUUCCGUACUCUUAACGUAUUUAAUCACGGUUAAAAAUUCUAAAAUUUUACAAUAAACUUGUCGAACAAGUUAAUUGUUCUUCUGUUACAUUAUUAUGCGGUACAUUAGUUACUAAAUUCGAUUAUAAAUACCUCAUGACACUAUAAACGAUUAAUGAUGUAGUUUUCAGACAAAUUCUUAACGUUUUACACAGCUGCAAUAAGUAUACUGCACUUUUAACCAUUGAUUAGUAUUUUCCCUUAAAUACUAAUCCACCCAACAAAAAAUAAGCAUGAAGUUUUAGUUUUCAAACCUAAACAAUAUUGGAAGGUAUAAAUAAUAUGAAUUUAAUAACUAAUAAAUAAUUUAAACUUUAUAACACCAAACUGAAUUGAUAUUCGGCAGGUGUACAUUCCAAAGUUCUAAAAUUGAAUUUUAUGAAAUUAUUUGACGAUGUAUUAUUUACCAUUAUUGCAGUCGCUGUAAAUUUAAUAAUUUAUUGAUCGGUCAGACGUUUUUCUCAGUAGAUUUUUUUUUUUCAGAUAACUUAUAAUAUAUAUUGGGAAAAUCCAGUACAAUUUUUUUUCUGAAAAUACCAUUAACGACGAUUAAUUAUGAAACUGCCGAGGUGUGGCAAAAAACUUUUAAAGUAUUUUUUGCUGACCGAAAAAAUCCCAAAGUUGUAAAACCAAUAAGACUAAUAGGUAUAUAGCCUUUUCACUCUGAUAACAAAAGUUUUAAUUUACAUUAAAGUUGAAAUACUUUAUUAUUAUAUGAAUUAAAAUUUCAAAUAAAGUGUUUUUGAACAUUUUAAGACAGCCUUAAAUAUCCAUUUUGAUGAAAAUUGAAAAAUGAAAAUCUCCUUAACAUAAUAUUAUUAACUUUCUUGAUUGUAAACCUCCUGCAGCUAAAAUUAGCCGUUCGUAUAGAUCCGUGGAAAUAUAUUUUAUUUCAUAUUGAGUUUAUUACUUAUAAACUCGCCAACAAUCAGAAAAUGAUUCUAUUAUUAUAUUGAAAAACGUUCAAAGAGAUUAAUGAUAGAACGGGUUUUUUUCCAUGUAAGCUUUUCGAUUAUAACGAAAAUUCUUUACAUUUUAACUGAAAACACCAUGUGUACACCUAUUUUAUUUCUUACAGUUUCGAAAAACGGUAAAUAAAAUAUUUUUUAUAAAAUACGAUUUACAAUAAAACGUCAGAUAUUGCGAAACUCGAAAUUUACGAGACUUAAUAAAACUUGACCCCGAUUCCCUACUACCCCGCGAUCACCACUCAGCGUUAAUGCCAAAACUCUAAUAAUAAUACGAAAACGGACGAGCGUUGCCUGCUGCUACUUUUAAACAAUUUAUAACCGAUGAGAAUUCCCGGCAACAUGCGCGCACUUGAUAAAUCCGAAUGUUCAUAACUGCAGUAAAUUGAAUUUAUAAAAUGUGACUUUCCAUAAAAGAAGACAGAUACUGUUCGAUAUUGUACAGUUAUAUAUUAUAGUCAAAUCGAUUACGUGCUUCAACGGGUCGACGUAAAGUUUGGCUGUUAAUGCAGUGUGGUGGUAAAAGAAGAAAAAAAAUACGUAUCGGUAUUUUUUACGAGAACAUUUUGUUUUUGUUUGUUCUUUUUUUUUUUUUAAACGUUUCAUCUGAAAUUCCGAAGCGAAAACACGGUUUGGCGAAAAAUGCCGAUACAAAAACGAUCGAGUUCGUGACAAACUAAUUUAUAACGUUUUUCAAUCUAAACCGGCACGCGGUACAGUUAAUAUCACUGAAUCCACACUACUGUUUCUCUGUUUUUUUUUUUUUUCAAUACAAACAUUAAUUUAUUUAAUAUAUUUGUAACUACGAGCGGUUAUCUAACGUAUGUAUACUGUUUUACGAUACGAUUUCUUAAUCGUUGUUCAAACUUUAUCGUCGGUCGUGACUUGCGUAUGCAUGCUAACAACGUAUAAUAUACACAUGACAAAUACUGCAAUAAAGUUUGUUCUGUUCGAUAUUUUAGACUCUGAGUGUAGCGAAAAAUGUAUGUGUAAUUAUUUUUUUUUUUAUAGUGUUUACAAUAAUUUUACCAGAAAUUUUGUUCCGAAAUAUCACGUAUAGCACCUUUUCAAAAAUGGAAUUUUCCCGGGGUGGUACUGUUGGAGGUCAUUUUUUAAUUUCUGCAGGAGUUUUCCCAGUAAAUGGAAAAAACAUGAUAAAAACCCGGAAAAAACGGGCAAAUAUAUACCGUAUUAAACAAAUAUUAUUAAAGAAAAUAUAUAAUGCAUAAGUAAUUAUAUUUUUACCAUAAUAUGACAUAUAAAUUGUUCACAAAGCCCUUAUUAAUCGAACUCCGCUCAGAAUGGUUGCAUACAGAUAUACAUUAAAUUUCCCGUCUACGUUCCCAAAUUUUCACCUACAAUAUUGGCCCACCCACGUGCGAAGUACUUCCGUCUUUUUUAGGUUUAUUUCUAUUCUUAUUGCAAUAAUUACUAUAGAGCAGUAUUUCCCAACCUGGAAGUGAACACGUUGCAGGGGAAACACGAGCAUUUACAUUUACAUAAACAAUGGGGGAGGGGGAAACGAAAAAUUAAUAGCGAUCUGUUACCACGUGUAGCUAAAGCUAAUAUAACAAUAAAUAAUAUAAUCGUAAUCUUAUAAUAAAUCUCGUAAAUACACCGUUUAAAAACAAAACACAAAAAUCGCUUGAAUGUCGAAUCAGACUGAGGUGCUCUCUCGCCAAUAUCGAGCCGAAUAUUAAAAAAUUAUCCAAACAAUAGUGUUGUCGCGUUAAUAUUAAUUGGUAAUUUCAUUAUUAGUUUUACAAAAUUACAAAAUAUUAUUCACCUUACAAUUAUUACAAAACAUUUCAUUAUUAUUAUUAAUUUAUAGUUAUUAUCAUAAAUAAAAAAAAAAUUAAAUAUUUCGAAUAUAGUGUAGUUUAUUUAUAAAGUACACGAAAAAAAGUCAUUAAUGUGAUCAGUUUAUGGAGAGGGGCGUGAAAUUUUUGAAAAAUCUACAAAAGGGGCGUAGAAUUAAAGAGUUUGGGAAUAACUAUAUACUAGAACCUUGCCCCGUGAUUCGUUUAUUUUAUAAAUUUGUAUUAAUAUUUUUUUUUUUUUAGUAAAAACAAUAAACUUUUAUUUUUUACAAAACCAAAGAGAUAGCCGUUUUAUAAAUAGAAUAUUUUAAAACAAAAUGCUAGAGUUACAAAUAUUUACCAAGACAUCAAUAUAUUGUCAUUUAACCGAUUUUAGGUCAAUAUAUAUACGGAGUUAUCAAUCUUUCAUAGGACAUUCAUUGUCUCCGUUAGUUUUAACUUUUUUUGGAAUUUAUUUUUCAGAACAUUUAAGAAACAAUCUGCUCCAUAAUUUUAUAAUAUAAAAUACUUAAUUUAUAUUAUUUUUCGUCACUCUUAUUUGAAGGGGUAAAACCACCAGUCAGUCCAUUCCACGAUAUAUUCCACUUUUAAGUUUGGGUUGGAGGAAAGUACUAGAGUAUCAUUUGUGCGGCGGUACGGCGCGCGGCGUGUUAAUAGUGCACCACCACUCUCCUCCAACACAAACUUAAAAGUAGAAUAUCUCGUCAAUGGACAAACGGAAAUAAAAAAUUUGAACACUAAAAUUUAUUUUGACUAAUAAUUCGUCUAUUUAUGAAAUUUUUAAUAUAGGUUGCCAUUUGAAAAUCCAAACAAGGUAGCGGUUUUACCCCUUAAAAUAAGGAUGACAAAAAAUAACUUAAGUAUAAAAUUGUAGAGCAGCUUGUUUCUUAAAUAAAACAAAUUCCGGAAAAAUUAAACACUUUCCUGAAAUAAAGAGUUUCUUACAAUAAAUUGAUCACUUCGUAUAUACAUUAUUUACUAACGAUGAAUCGUUAAGUUAUUGCAAAUUUUUGAAGCUUACGAUAAUAUCGAUUGAUAUUAUUUUAGUAGUAGCAAUGAAAACGUUUUAAAUUACCAUAAACUUCAUUUUUAGAAAAUUAACGAUUUAUCAUCAGUAAAUAUCUGUAACACCAAAUUAUCCUGUUUAAAGAUAUUUUUUAAGUAGAUAUCUAUACUUUGGAUUUUGUAAAAAAAAUUGUAUUUUUAGUUUUAUAAAACAAAAAAUAUAUACAUAAUAGAGAAAUCAUAGCCCAAGGCUCUUGUCUAGUUGAUUUAGUAAUUACCUUGGAUAAAAUAAAAACUUAAACAAAUAUUAAACAGAAUAAAAGUUAUCGCAUUCGUCAGAUCUCCGAGAAAUACCCCCAUAUAUACGGUAACUUGGAGAACACGAAACUUUCGGUAACUAUAAGUAAUUACCUACUUAUACCAAGCUUUCGGUAUAGUAAGUUAUAAAUACAAAACUAACGGUUAUUAUUGAAAUCCUCAGAUCUGGUAUAACUUUGACCAAUAAAGGUAUAAAAGCGUAUAAUAGUUUAGUGGCAAUCAUUUUGGUACAUUUAAGUUUUAAGUAGUUUUAAGGGAAACUAAUUUUAUUAAUUUUACCACUGUUAAAUAAUUUUUAUUUAAAAUAUUCGAACUACGAAUAUUGUAUACAAUUUUCGAGUAUUUUUUGAAAAGGCAGGUACUAGGUGUAUAUUAAAUAUUAAAAAAAUGUUAGCCACAAAAAUCUAAAAAAAAAAAUGAAUCAAAAAUAAAUUCUACUGUUUAAAACGGAGUCACCAUCUAUGGCCACUUAUUUUAUUCGUAAAUAGUGUAAUUUUAUAUGCCAAAUUAUAGUUAUUUAUGUCUUCGUUGAAAGCUGCAUGUAUACAUAUGACUAAAUAAAAAUACACGGUCGCUAGAUUAAAAAUUAUUGUCCCAACUUGGAACAAAAACUAUUGCAAUUAUAUACGAUACUUUAUUGUUUCUGCCAAAUGUGUAGGGGAAAAUGGAUUAGAUAAUAUUUAACUAUUAAAUUAACUCAAGUCAUUAUUUUCCUGAAAAUUCAUAACUUAACGUAGUUGCUCGUUUAUAUUUUAAAAUUUAGCUUUACUAGUUUAGGAUAACUUAGCUGAAACUAGUUUAAAUAAUCGAUUAGCUCACCCAGCUUUAGAAUUUUUAAUGCCAUACAUACAAAUCGUUUCCUCUUCAUAUGAUAACAAUGUAUAGGUAGUAAGAUUAAAGCGAUUAAUUUGUUUUCAGAAAACUUUUUCUUUUCGUUUUUGUGUGGGUAUCAUUUGACGUGUUCAAAACGAUUCAGGCGGAUUCACAUUCAACAGACGGAUAACCGAACAUAAUAAUAGUAUUAUGCAUACCUACUCGCGGGAGGGUCAGUUUACGAAUUUCACUGCAGUCCAUAAAAAUAUGAUGAACGAUGAUGGCUUCGGAUCCGUCUAAAGUUUAGUCAACGUUUACAUUUCCACGCCGGAAUCUGUUAUCGAUUUUUGCGGCCGCAAUCUAAUCAAAAAAAAAAAUAACAUCAAGGUAAGCGUAUAAGCUGUUUUUCGUAUAAUAUUAUAUUAAUUUGACGGUUUCCAAGAGAAUGGGCUAAAGUCAUAAGCUCAGCCAGUCAAAUGCUGAGUUGUAAGUCAGCUACCUUACAACCAUGCAAUUUUUUGUUUUUUUUUUUUAAUUUUAGAAUUCGACUUUUAUACAUUUCACUUACAUUUCACUUUCAACUUUCAACGGCGGUACAAAACAAAAUUAGAUACCUACUGUAAAUAAUAUCUUCAAUCAAACCAUAGCAUUGAAAAUUUAUUAAAAAAUCGCCCGUGAACAAAGGAGUUAUUCAUUGUAAAACAAACAAAAUUACCGAAUACCAUAAUUAUACAAUAUUAUACUAUACAAAAAUAUGUUAUACUAAAACUUUAAAAAAAUAAUAAUAAUAAUUAAAUUAGAUCCUAAAAAUACUAGGGGAGGGUGGUAGAACUCUGAAAUCACCAAAAGAUAUCAAAUAUUGGUACUAAAGCCGCGCAUUUACAAAUUUUCAUCCCCUUGGCUUUAUUUGGAAAGUCUGUAGAGGUGUACAAAGCCAAAAAACACCCUCCGCCCGCAAAAAUAUGCGGGUUUAGUUCAUAUUGAAGUUCAACCAAAAUGUUAUGACCUAAACAAUUCUGAUCACCGAGUAUGAGUUUAUUUGGUCCAGUCGGACCAAAAUGCAGCUAUAGAAACGUCCAAAAGUAGCGGGAAAUAUAUAUUUAAUAUGUUUAUAUUUAUACGAGUAUAUUAAAACAGACACAAUACGCAGUACGAUAUUCUCUAUUAUUAUUUUUUUUUUUUUUUUUUUUGGGGGGGGGGCAGGGGAGAAAUUUGCCUAAAAAACCAAUAUAUUCCUCGCUAUACGCUCGGAAUCUAAAAUGUAAUAAUAUUUGUUUUUAUUUGUUUAGACAAACUUAUGGCGAUCUCUAUGGCAUCGGCAAUACGGAUUUCCGUUAAUCGACUCGCAUCGACUUUGCGUGCGAAUAUCAAGUAAAAAGAAAAAUAACAAUAAUAAUAAUAAUAAUAACAACAAAUACGUUUAAACGGCUGCAUACGAAUUGCGUCCCUAAAAACGUCGCGACAACCGAGUUGCGUCCGCAAGAAUAAUCGUUAUUCUAUUUCUACAUGUUUGAUGAUAAACUCGUUAAUACUAAUUGUCUGUCGAUUAUCGAUACCUUAUUAUAGGACGGUAAAUAUCACCUAACAAUUUAUCGUUGAAAAUCAAUUUUGUUCAUUUUGUUCAUGUCAAAAGUGUUCAAACUGAUAUUUACAUUGAAAUUUAACCAACAAACGAAGAGAGGACGUAUAAAACGAAGAUUUUAUUAAAAAUACUACGCGGACGCAACUCGGAUGUGUCGUGAGAAAAUAUCAUUUAUGGACGCGAUUCAAAUGCGCCGGUUUAAACGCGUACCUUAUUAAACACUGAAACGCCGAAAUUCCUGUAUUGUUUCAGAAGGUGUUAUUCGCGGGGCACAAAGGGUAAAACGAGUAAAUUCAAGAAGAUGUAAAUCAACGGAAAGAUGGACCGAAGAAUUCGUUAAAACUUUACACUCUUGCGGUUUAUUUCUGCUUUUUAUUUUUUUUUUUCUACAAAUCAUUGUGCGCAACUAUCGCUGUACAAACGUUUUUAGACAACCGUUAGGCAAACGUCAACAAGAAUAAACCCCAAACUACGCUCCGUUUCGUCGAACGCUUAUACCCUGGUAGGCAGUCGAUAUUUUAUUUUAUAAUAUAAUCGCCCCCUCCCUCCCCCCCCCCUCGACGAUAAACCACAACAGCAAUAAUAAUAUUAUUAUAAUAUUAUAACAUUCAACCAAGAAUAACAAAAUGUUAAAACAUAUGACUAACGUUUAAGAUUAAAGUUUAAUAAUGUAAAAAAAAAAAAAAUUAAAAAAAAAAAAUAAAUUAAUAUUAUUUACUUUUAUUUUUAAUUAGAGCGCGGAUUUAUAUUCUCUUAAAAUUUUCAAUAUAUGCUUGCAAUAUUCUCUAAAAAUAUUAUUAAAAUAUGCAGAACUAUGUUUUUAUAUCAAUAUAUUCUAUUAACAUGAAAAUAUGUACUUUUAUGCGAAAUAAAUUCAAUAAAUAAUAAUUAACAAAAUCAAUAACAUUAAUAAAAUAAUAACAAACUCAUUUUUUUUUUUUUUUUUCGUAUCGUUGUUUCGGCAUUUCGUUGGAUUAAAUCUUGUAAAUUAAAGCACGACAGUCAUAAAAUAUGAAAAUAAUAAUUUUUUAAUUUGAUCAGACUUCGAAUAUAAAAACGAAAUAGUUAAUCGUUAUCGCUAGAGGAAAAUAUGUGAUAAUUUACGCGCGGUAACAAAUUAUUAUCAAUUAUUCGGGCCGUAGGUAGUCCGUUGUCCGUAAAAUUGAUAACUAGACAAUAAAAAUUCGACUGACAGGACGUGUCUCAACGUCAUGUACCGCAUUCGUAUUACGGUGUAAACAGUGAAAUAACAAUAAAUCUCGCAUUUCGUUAUCAUUUGCCGACCAUCAGAUCGUAAUAGCAUUGACGACUGUCGUCAGGACGCAUGCUCCCCCCCCCCCAUCGAUGAAAUGUUUCGAAACGGAACAAAUCGACCGUGGCUGGUAAAAAAUGUACAUAUACAUUUUUUAAUUCCCGGAAGUAUUUCGAUUCGCCGCCGAUUGUUUUAAUCAGUCGAAUACGCGCGGAAAACGAAAACGAAAACGAAAACGAAAAAAAAAAAAAAAAAAAUGAUUUUAUAUGAACGGGUAAUUCUCUUAUUGACAACGCCGAAAUAAUGCGCGCUCGUUCGUGCACGGUGGGAUCGUCGACGGGUCGUACGCGCGUCGGUUAAACACGCGCGUUCAACUUGCGUACAGCAAUCCGCGCUCUACUUAACACAUAGCUCUUAAGAAUUAUUAACACUGUAGCGAGACUCGAAAAAGACUGAUUUUGCGUUACCCGCGCACGUUUGUCGCGACGUCGUUUCGCUGUACGUCCGCGCCGUUAAUAAUAAUCGUUAAGGUGCACUCCGAGACGUUAUGGCGAUAGUCGAACACCACGCGGCUAUUGACAUAACCGACAAUGAAAUCACCGUGUCUUCCAUUAUUAAUUUAUAUCACGUGAUUAAUACGUUUGCGCGACGAAAAUCGCAAACGGCACGUUGUGUUAUCGGUUAGGUUUACGAUAAUAUGUAAUAAUUAUGUUUAAAUUCGUUUUACAACCCGUUUGUUGUGACGGAGACAAAAUCGGUAAAUCCGUACGAAUGAACAAUCCAGUUUAUUAUGUGUAUACGGAAAACAUAUUGUACGGAUUAUUCUCUGUUUUUUUCUCUCUCUCUCUCUCUCUCUCUCUUAUUUGCGUUGCGUUUUUAGCCGACAAACACUCAAAAACAAACUGUAGGUACGUUUUUACUAUUUUUUCUCAAAAUAUUAAUGUUCAGAAAAAAAAAAAAAAGUCACGCGAGUUGAAACGAAUGGAAAAAAAAAAAACAAUGAAAACGAGAUGGUAUACCACCCGACGCACCGGGAACGUAAUCGCCGAACUCGAAUUCGGCGACCGCCCGCUAAAAUUCGUUUCCGAGAUAACUGCAAUAACAAUUAUAAUAAUUAGACACACGGAUAGUUUUUUUUUUUUUUUUUUUCAAUGUUUUCCGUAAAGCAAAUAAUAACGGCGGCGCUUACCUGCGCAAUAUUUUUAAACUACCCGUCUAACGUAAUGUUACCGUUAAUAUCACGUAAAACAAAUGAUUAAUAUUUAAACGUGUUACAAUUCGUUUUUUUUUUUUUUUUUAUACUCAUCGCGUUAAUUUUUUACGUUCGGUUUUUAUUAUAAUACUGGCCCCGUGAACCGGGUGUGACGUUUGACAAUAAAAAAUAUACAUUAGCCGUUUCAUCGGGUAUUUUUUUUUUUUUUUUCUAACCAUUAACGUUUAGGUACAGUUUUUUUUGUUUUGUUUUGUUUUGUUUUUUUUUUUUUUUAGUUAACUAAGUAUUAUUAUAAUAAUAAUAAAAAUAAUAUAAUUCGUACCUUUAAUAAUAAUAAUAAUAAUAUGUUAAGAAAUAAAAUUUAAAAUUUAAAAUUUAAGUAAAAUAUUCGGACGGCGUUUAGAGGACGCGUGGUACGGAUUGGCGCAUCCAAAGGCGAAGGGAUGGAAUAGGAUAAUUAAUAGCUCCUCCUUGGCCGCGGUUUAAUAAAAAAAAAAAAAAGAAAAAAAAAAGCAAGCACCGCCCCAUUGUAAGACAAUAAGACAUAAGUGUGAAUUUCGCGUUGCACAAAUUUCAAUUACCGCCCACCCCACCCUGUUCUCCGGAAUCCGCCCCUGACCCGCAUUCGCCGUCUCGGUAACCGACGGGCGACACGGCGAAAAUCUUACGCGACCGAGAAUAAACAUUGCGCUGCUCGUGGAUUGAAAUCGGAGUUUAAACGCGGGCACCGUACGCGUUGGUUUUUUUUUUCUGUCCGUAAAAACGGACGCCGGACAAAAUAGUUGACAGCCGUGUGUUUUUCUCAUCAAAUUCCGUCGUGCGCGCGCAAUUCCGAUCCGAAACCGUAACAUUGCAAUACGAACGCCGCGGUUUUAAUUCCGAGUCGCCGGAUUCGGCCCCGGGUUACCGUUGCCCGUCAUUUGGGCCCGCGGUCGAAACACACGAGGUUAUUGCACGCGGGCUCCGGAUCGUUAUCGUCGCGAAACGGGAUAAUCGCGGGUAUCGAUUUGCUCGCCGCGGAAAAUGCGCUGGCCCCCAUUACGCCGCCAUCGUUUCCGUUUCCGCCGCCGUCGGACAUUCGAUUGAGAACCGGGUGGGGGGGGCGAAUGAACGUACGCAAACACCUGGCGCAACGUUCCAACGCCGUGGUCGGACCGACGAAUGCGCGCGCGAACGUUCCGCAGACAGUCGUCUUUGAACUGCACGCGACUCGACGUCGUCCGGUUCGUUCGGCGGCGUCGAAAGACCGGUGCGGAAUUUUCACGGCGUUUCGCACCGUGUUGCCGUCAUUACGACGUUUCCGAAACCCUCUCGCGUACCGUCGCGAAUUUCCUCUUUUUUUUUCUUUUUCACCGAUCGACAUCGGCAAAAACGUUACCCGAUUUAAAAUAAUUGUAUACACGCAUGUGCACGCGCGCAACACGCCCAAUCGACAACGUCCCGCGCUUUCGUAGUCGUUAUAAAACGUUCGUUUUUACCGCUUGCGUGGCGUCCGCCGUAAUCGGUGUUGCGCGACAAUGGAAUUUCGCUGUUCCGUGGGGGGAACGCUGCCCGUGUCCGGACGUUCCGAGCGAAUUCGCGCGUCCCGUCCACCGGAGUACAGCGGAAUCGAUUUGCACGCGAACCUGCGCUCGCGUAAAUGUCGGCGUGUUGGUUUUUUCCCGCGGCCGCGCCGGACGCAUGAUAUCGGUCGAAUAACAUCGAACGACAACCGCCCCGCGGAAACGUUUCCGUUUACGAAACGCCCGUGCCGUCUGACAACCGAUUCACAAGGGGCGAGAAAAAUGCAUCGCGGUCGUCGUCGGGUGUUGUCCCCCCCGCGAGUACCGAUCAUCGCGUCAAGGGGUUAACGUGCGCGACCCGCGCAGUACGUCGAGUGCGCGUGUGCGUGUUAGACAACCGCCUUACGGUUUUUCGGGGACCGCGCCAUCGGUUCCCGUCACCGAACGUCGCGCCGUACCCUAGCGCCGUUACUAGCGACCGUUAUUAUAGUGGCGAUACUAUCGCCGGAUGUUCGGGAAAAAAAAAAAAAUCACCAACAUUUUUAAUUGAACCAGUGUUCGGUUUAACGGCGCGUGAAAUUGCGACGACAGCGGCGUCAGACGCGAGAAAAUAUCGCGUUUGAUGUGAUGGUAUGGAUGAUGAUUUUAGGGUUCGGUAAUUGUCCGCGUUCAGAGUGGACGCGUGUCUUGAGAUAAAAAAAAAAAAAAUAAUAAAAAAAAAAAAAAAAAACUUAAAUCUAGUAAUAACACAAUAAAUCGGUUUUUUCUGUUAUUAUUUUUUUUUUUUUCGUUUAUCGCACUCGCACUCGUUCCGUUACGAACACCGGCUACGGUAAACACACUGACGCAAUCCGAUAUCGGUUCGUGUACCGGAUUCGGCAACGUGUUUUUACGAACAAAUACUUCGUUGUUUAUGUUAUUAAAUUAUUAAAAUGUUUGAAAUCUCGCUUGUUUAACCGUUGCGCUACGACAAUGUGAGAUGCCGUAUAACAUUGCAAUCGUUUUAUUAUAUUCUAAUUAUUAUACGCCUGUCGAUUUUUUUUUUUUUUUUUUUUUGUCUGUUUUGUCUGCUAGGCCGUUAUACCGCGCACACUGUAAUACAAUAUUAUAUUGUAAACUUAGAUUUUCGAUCGCAUGUUUACCGCUGUACAACGCGCAUUACGUUUUACGUUUUGCGCGUAAAUUUACAAAAAAAAAAAAAAAUAUUGUAAUUAUAAUAUCACGCUUAGAAGCGAAACUAUUUCAAUGUACGUAAAUUCUAAUUAAAAACCGAUGAUCUGUUAAAA
Molecule: long non-coding RNA, 20101 nt
Filed under: Cinara cedri
Lineage: Eukaryota; Metazoa; Arthropoda; Insecta; Hemiptera; Aphididae
Source: RNAcentral